AACGAACGCUGGCGGCAUGCCUAAUACAUGCAAGUCGAACGAGACCUUCGGGUCUUGUUUCGCACGAGGGCGUAACGCGUGGGGACCUGCCCUUAGGUUCGGAAUAACUCCCCGAAAGGGGUGCUUUUACCGGAUAAUGUCUUAGGACCUAAGAUUUAUUGCCUUUUGAUGUGCGCGCGUUGGAUUCGCUUGUUGGUAGGGUAAAAGCUUACCAAGGCGACGAUCCAUAGCUUGGCUGAGAGGAUGAUCAGCGACACUGGGACUGAGACACGGCCGAGAUUUCUACGGAAGGAAGCAGUGCUGAAUAUUGGACGAUGGGGGAAAGCAUGAUCCAGCAAGGCCGGGUGAGUGAUGAAGGCGUGAGGGUUGUAAAGCGCAUUUAACCGGGAUGAUAAUGACGGUACCGGAAGAAUAAGCUCCGGCUAACUACGUG
RNAcentral lists this ribosomal RNA (433 nucleotides) under uncultured bacterium. RNAcentral describes it as "partial 16S ribosomal RNA". It matches the Rfam family "Bacterial small subunit ribosomal RNA", at positions 29 to 507 of the family's 1533-position model. The record is from RNAcentral.